Molecule: unclassified non-coding RNA, 17 nt
Filed under: Mus musculus (house mouse)
Lineage: Eukaryota; Metazoa; Chordata; Mammalia; Rodentia; Muridae
Description: oocyte_clustered_small_RNA8169
Source: RNAcentral
GCCUUAGAUUUCACCAA